This 472-nucleotide ribosomal RNA is filed under the name uncultured bacterium. RNAcentral describes it as "bacterial SSU rRNA". It matches the Rfam family "Bacterial small subunit ribosomal RNA", at positions 25 to 518 of the family's 1533-position model. The record is from RNAcentral.
CAGGACGAACGCUGGCGGCGUGCUUCAUACAUGCAAGUCGAACGAUAAGGUCCUUCGGGAAUACAUAAGUGGCGGACGGGUGAGUAAUAUGUAGAGAAUCUGCCCUGAAGAGGGGGACAACAGAGGGAAACUUCUGCUAAUACCCCAUAUGCGCGUAGUUGGGAUACUAUUCGUGAAAGAUUUAUCGCUUCAGGAUGAGUCUGCAUCUGAUUAGCUAGUUGGGGGUGUAAUGGACCACCAAGGCGACGAUCAGUAGCUGGUUUGAGAGGAUGAUCAGCCACAAUGGGACUGAGACACGGCCCAUACUCCUACGGGAGGCAGCAGUAGGGAAUUUUGCGCAAUGGGCGAAAGCCUGACGCAGCAACGCCCGCGUGAUCGCAGACGGCCUUCGGGUUGUAAAGAUCUGUCAGCAGGGACGAACAAUGACUGUACCUGCAGAGGAAGCACCGGCUAACUCCGUGCCAGCCGCGGC